GACGAACGCUGGCGGCGUGCUUAACACAUGCAAGUCGAACGAUGAAGUUAUGACGGAGGCUUCGGCCGACAGAAUAACGGAAUAGUGGCGGACGGGUGAGUAACGCGUGAGUAACCUGCCUUUCAGAGAGGAAUAACAUUUGGAAACGAAUGGUAAUACCACAUAACAUUACGUUCUCGCAUGGGGAUGUAAUCAAAGAUUUAUCGCUGAGAGAUGGACUCGCGUCCGAUUAGCUAGAUGGUGAGGUAACGGCCCACCAUGGCGACGAUCGGUAGCCGGACUGAGAGGUUGAACGGCCACAUUGGGACUGAGACACGGCCCAGACUCCUACGGGAGGCAGCAGUGGGGAAUAUUGCACAAUGGGGGAAACCCUGAUGCAGCAACGCCGCGUGAAGGAAGACGGUCUUCGGAUUGUAAACUUUUGUUCUUGGUGAAGAUAAUGACGGUACCUAAGGAGGAAGCCCCGGCUAACUACGUG
RNAcentral lists this ribosomal RNA (478 nucleotides) under uncultured bacterium. RNAcentral's name for it is "bacterial SSU rRNA". It matches the Rfam family "Bacterial small subunit ribosomal RNA", at positions 28 to 507 of the family's 1533-position model. The record is from RNAcentral.